RNAcentral lists this microRNA precursor (61 nucleotides) under Ornithorhynchus anatinus (platypus). RNAcentral's name for it is "Oan-Mir-1422-P3_pre stem-loop". The record is from RNAcentral. Lineage: Eukaryota; Metazoa; Chordata; Mammalia; Monotremata; Ornithorhynchidae.
UUCAAUCCAGACCAGUUUUUCUUUAUGUUAAAUAACCUAGAAAACUGUAUCUGGAUUGAUG